This 492-nucleotide ribosomal RNA is filed under the name uncultured bacterium. Its description in RNAcentral is "partial 16S ribosomal RNA". It matches the Rfam family "Bacterial small subunit ribosomal RNA", at positions 29 to 507 of the family's 1533-position model. The record is from RNAcentral.
AGCGAACGCUGGCGGUAGGCCUAACACAUGCAAGUCGAACGGCAGCACAGUAAGCUCUCGCUCUUACGGGUGGCGAGUGGCGGGUGGGUGAGGAAUAGAUCGGCAUCUACUUUUCCGGGGGGGAUAACGUAGGGAAACUUACACUAAUACCGCAUACUACCUACGGGUGAAAGCAGGUGAUAUUCGGGCCUUUGGCGAAUGAAUGAGCCGAUGUGGGAUUAGCUAGUUGGCGGGUGAAAGGCCCACCAAGGCGACGAUCCGUAGCUGGCCUGAGAGGAUGGUCAGCCACACUGGAACUGAGACACGGUCCAACCUCCUACGGGAGGCGGCAGUGGGGAACAUUGGACAAGGGGCGCAAGCCUGAUCCAGCCAUACCGCGUGGGUGAAGAAGGCCUUCGGGUUGUAAAGCCCUUUUGUUGGGAAAGAAAAGCAGCAGGUUAAUACCCCGCUGUUCUGACGGUACCCAAAGAAUAAGCACCGGCUAACUUCGUG